This 891-nucleotide ribosomal RNA is filed under the name Chloroflexi bacterium enrichment culture clone L11_2_71. RNAcentral describes it as "bacterial SSU rRNA". It matches the Rfam family "Bacterial small subunit ribosomal RNA", at positions 8 to 916 of the family's 1533-position model. The record is from RNAcentral. Lineage: Bacteria; Bacillati; Chloroflexota.
AGAGUUUGAUCAUGGCUCAGGAUGAACGCUGGCGGCGUGCUUAAUACAUGCAAGUCGAACGGAGACAUUAGCAAUAAUGUCUUAGUGGCGAACGGGUGAGUAACGCGUUGGUGACCUGCCCCGAAGAGGGGGAUAACAGUCCGAAAGGAUUGCUAAUACCCCAUGUGGUCGUUUGGAUUAGAUGCCUUAUGACUAAACGGAUUUAUUCGCUUCGGGAGGGGCCUGCGUCCCAUCAGCUAGUUGGUAGGGUAAUAGCCUACCAAGGCGAUGACGGGUAGGGGACCUGAGAGGGUGGCCCCCCACAAUGGAACUGAAACACGGUCCAUACACCUACGGGUGGCAGCAGUAGGGAAUAUUGGUAAUCUGGGAAACCGGGAACCAGCAACGCCGCGUGCGCGAUGAAGGCCUUCGGGUUGUAAAGCGCUUUUUGAAGGGAUGAGGAAGGACAGUACCUUCAGAAUAAGCCUCGGCUAACUACGUGCCAGCAGCCGCGGUAAAACGUAGGAGGCGAGCGUUAUCCGGAUUUACUGGGCGUAAAGCGUGUGUAGGCGGUUUGAUAAGUUGGAUGUGAAAGCUCCUGGCUCAACUGGGAGAGGUCGUUCAAAACUAUCAGACUCGAGAGUGGUAGAGGGAGGUGGAAUUCCGCGUGUAGUGGUGAAAUGCGUAGAUAUGCGGAGGAACACCAGUGGCGAAAGCGGCCUCCUGGCCCAUUUCUGACGCUCAGACACGAAAGCUAAGGUAGCAAACGGGAUUAGAGACCCCGGUAGUCUUAGCUGUAAACGAUGUGAACUUAGUGUCGGUGGGGUUAAAUCCAUCGGUACUGAAGCAAACGCGAUAAGUUCACCGCCUGAGGACUACGGCCGCAAGGUUAAAACUCAAAUGAAUUGACGG